GCAAACUUGGUCAUUUAGAGGAAGUAAAAGUCGUAACAAGGUCUCCGUUGGUGAACCAGCGGAGGGAUCAUUGCUGUAGCGCUCCUGAAAACGGAGCAACUACAAAACCCUUUGUGAACAUACCCAUCGUCGUUGCCUCGGCGGGCCGGUACGCGCUGCCUUGGCCUUCCCCCCCCUCUCCCGGGGCGGGAGGGCCGGCCGCGGACCCCCUGCGCGCCCGCCGGCGGCCUGACAAACUCUUGUUUCCAGCGUGUCUUCUUCUGAGUAUACCACUUAAAUAAAAGUAAAAACUUUCAACAACGGAUCUCUUGGUUCUGGCAUCGAUGAAGAACGCAGC
RNAcentral lists this unclassified non-coding RNA (337 nucleotides) under uncultured fungus. RNAcentral describes it as "partial contains small subunit ribosomal RNA, internal transcribed spacer 1, and 5.8S ribosomal RNA". The stretch from base 1 to 73 matches the Rfam family "Eukaryotic small subunit ribosomal RNA", at positions 1759 to 1831 of the family's 1831-position model. The record is from RNAcentral. Lineage: Eukaryota; Fungi.